This 512-nucleotide ribosomal RNA is filed under the name uncultured bacterium. RNAcentral's name for it is "partial 16S ribosomal RNA". It matches the Rfam family "Bacterial small subunit ribosomal RNA", at positions 28 to 507 of the family's 1533-position model. The record is from RNAcentral.
GAUGAACGCUGGCGGCGUGCCUAAUACAUGCAAGUCGAACGAAACUUCUUUAUCACCGAGUGCCUGCACUCACCGAUAAAGAGUUGAGUGGCGAACGGGUGAGUAACACGUGGGCAACCUGCCCAAAAGAGGGGGAUAACACUUGGAAACAGGUGCUAAUACCGCAUAACCAUAGUUACCGCAUGGUAACUAUGUAAAAGGUGGCUAUACUACCGCUUUUGGAUGGGCCCGCGGCGCAUUAGCUAGUUGGUAGGGUAAAGGCUUACCAAGGCAAUGAUGCGUAGCCGAAUUGAGAGGUUGAUCGGCCACAUUGGGACUGAGACACGGCCCAAACUCCUACGGGAGGCAGCAGUAGGGAAUCUUCCACAAUGGGCGAAAGCCUGAUGGAGCAACGCCGCGUGGGUGAAGAAGGUCUUCGGAUCGUAAAACCCUGUUGUUAGAGAAGAAAGUGCGUGAGAGUAACUGUUCACGUUUCGACGGUAUCUAACCAGAAAGCCACUGCUAACUACGUG